This 497-nucleotide ribosomal RNA is filed under the name uncultured bacterium. RNAcentral's name for it is "partial 16S ribosomal RNA". It matches the Rfam family "Bacterial small subunit ribosomal RNA", at positions 28 to 507 of the family's 1533-position model. The record is from RNAcentral.
GAUGAACGCUGGCGGCGUGCCUAAUACAUGCAAGUCGAGCGAACGGACGAGAAGCUUGCUCCUCUGAUGUUAGCGGCGGACGGGUGAGUAACACGUGGAUCACCUACCUCUAAGACUGGGAUAACUUCGGGAAACCGGAGCUACUACUGGAUAAUAUUUCGAACCGCAUGGUUCAAAAGUGAAUGACGGUCUUGCCGUCACUUAUAGCUGGUUCCGCGCUGCAUUAGCUAGUUGGUAAGGUAACGGCUUACCAAGGCGACGAUGCAUAGCCGACCUGAGAGGGUGAUCAGCCACACUGGAACUGAGACACGGUCCAGACUCCUACGGGAGGCAGCAGUAGGGAAUCUUCCGCAAUGGGCGAAAGCCUGACGGAGCAACGCCGCGUGAGUGAUGAAGGUCUUCGGAUCGUAAAACUCUUUUAUUGGGAAAGAACAUAUGUGUAAGUAACUGUGCACAUCUUGACGGUACCUAAUCAGAAAGCCACGGCUAACUACGUG